RNAcentral lists this long non-coding RNA (230 nucleotides) under Elaeis guineensis (African oil palm). RNAcentral's name for it is "long non-coding RNA (EGUI_LNC047390)". The record is from RNAcentral. Lineage: Eukaryota; Viridiplantae; Streptophyta; Magnoliopsida; Arecales; Arecaceae.
UGGGUACUUCUAUUUUUGAUGGGACAGUCAAAAUAUUGGACUUUGUCAAAUAUAGAUGAACCUAUGUGUGUGCAAAAAAAUAAGUGGGAGUUUCACUAACUUCUUGGUUAUGUAUGUGGGGGACAUACAGCAUAUUGAGAAGGUAGUCCCGAUAUGGCACUUGGUCAAUAACUUGCUUAUCACAGAAGUUUUCAUGGAAAAAAACUUGGGUUAAGUAACCAAUAUAUUUG